GGUCAGCGGCUAUUCCGUCCGCCUGAAAAGCGGAAGGUCGCCGGUUCGAUCCCGGCCCUGGCCA
This 64-nucleotide transfer RNA is filed under the name Mycobacterium sherrisii. It matches the Rfam family "tRNA", at positions 10 to 71 of the family's 71-position model. From Rfam's summary of the family: Transfer RNA (tRNA) molecules are approximately 80 nucleotides in length. Their secondary structure includes four short double-helical elements and three loops (D, anti-codon, and T loops). The record is from Rfam by way of RNAcentral. Lineage: Bacteria; Bacillati; Actinomycetota; Actinomycetes; Mycobacteriales; Mycobacteriaceae.